This 547-nucleotide ribosomal RNA is filed under the name uncultured bacterium. RNAcentral's name for it is "bacterial SSU rRNA". It matches the Rfam family "Bacterial small subunit ribosomal RNA", at positions 57 to 622 of the family's 1533-position model. The record is from RNAcentral.
GCAAGUCGAGCGGUAGAAUUAUUAUUGAAUCUUCGGAUGAUUUAAUAAUUUGAGAGCGGCGAACGGGUGAGUAACACGUUGGUAUCUGCCCCCAAGUCAGGGAUAGCCAUUGGAAACGAUGAUUAAUACCGGAUAGUCUCUUCGGAGUAAAGAUUUAUUGCUUGGGGAGGAACCUGCGUUCUAUCAGCUAGUUGGUGAGGUAAAAGCUCACCAAGGCUAUGACGGAUACCUGGUCUGAGAGGAUGAUCAGGCACAAUGGAAUUGAGACACGGUCCAUACUCCUACGGGAGGCAGCAGUGAGGAAUCUUCCACAAUGGGCGAAAGCCUGAUGGAGCGACACCGCGUGAAGGAUGAAGGCCUAACGGUUGUAAACUUCUUUUCUGAAGGAGCAUAAUGAGAGUACUUCAGGAAUAAGGGACGGCUAAAUACGUGCCAGCAGCUGCGGUAAUACGUAUGUCUCGAGCGUUACCCGGAAUCACUGGGUGUAAGGGGUUUGUAGGCGGCUUGUUAAGUUGGAUAUGAAAGACCGGAGCUCAACUCCGAGUUU